Molecule: ribosomal RNA, 164 nt
Filed under: Cleomella sparsifolia
Lineage: Eukaryota; Viridiplantae; Streptophyta; Magnoliopsida; Brassicales; Cleomaceae
Description: 5.8S ribosomal RNA
Rfam family: 5.8S ribosomal RNA
About the family: 5.8S ribosomal RNA (5.8S rRNA) is a component of the large subunit of the eukaryotic ribosome. It is transcribed by RNA polymerase I as part of the 45S precursor that also contains 18S and 28S rRNA. Functionally, it is thought that 5.8S rRNA may be involved in ribosome translocation.
Source: RNAcentral
AUAACGACUCUCGGCAACGGAUAUCUCGGCUCUCGCAUCGAUGAAGAACGUAGCGAAAUGCGAUACUUGGUGUGAAUUGCAGAAUCCCGUGAACCAUCGAGUCUUUGAACGCAAGUUGCGCCCCAAGCCGUCAGGCCGAGGGCACGUCUGCCUGGGUGUCACGC